Molecule: long non-coding RNA, 575 nt
Filed under: Ananas comosus (pineapple)
Lineage: Eukaryota; Viridiplantae; Streptophyta; Magnoliopsida; Poales; Bromeliaceae
Description: long non-coding RNA (ACOM_LNC006440)
Source: RNAcentral
GUUUUCUUACUUUUUUCUGCGGGUAUUCUUAUUAGGGUUUGUUUGGUGCACCGGUUUUAGAUUAUGAAAUCGGUAUGAAAUUCAUUAAUUUCAUGAAUCGAAUCCCAAUUUUCAUUUCAAAGUGGAAUGGGAAUGGCUAAAAACAUUUUUGGCCCAAUCUAGUUUUAAAUUUUGGAUUAUCCCAUUCUAAACUAAAUCACUGAAAAAUCUCUCUCAUUGACACCUCCUCUUCCUAACCCCCUUCUCAUCAUUCUUCUCUCUCAACCCAAACUCUCUUUCAAAAUUCUAAAUAUGCAUUCCGAUUUUCAUUCCACUGACGAACUAAAUAUUUUUAGAUGAUUCGUUAUUCUAUUUUUCAUUUCAUUACAAUUCAAUUUUAUUUUCAAUUCUAGUUUAAUCAUGAACCAAAAAUGCUCUGAAAGUGCUUCUCAAUUGAUGUAGUGCAACAACGAAUAAAAGUAAUGCUAGAUUGUACAUCUUACACCGCACUUAUUCAAUGCAUCACUCUCUACUUAUCUUAUCAAUUUUUUAUUUUUAACUAAAAUUCGAUAUAAACUUUUUGUCAAUCAUAUGAU